UACGAAGGGGGCUAGCGUUGUUCGGAAUUACUGGGCGUAAAGGGUUCGUAGGCGGUGCGGCAAGUCGGAAGUGAAAUCUCCAGGCUUAACUUGGAGGCUGCUCCCGAAACUGCCGUGCUAGAGUGCGGGAGAGGCGAGUGGAAUUGCAGGUGUAGCGGUGAAAUGCGUAGAUAUCUGCAGGAACACCCGUGGCGAAGGCGGCUCGCUGGACCGCAACUGACGCUGAGGAACGAAAGCUAGGGGAGCAAACAGG
Molecule: ribosomal RNA, 253 nt
Filed under: uncultured bacterium
Lineage: Bacteria
Description: partial 16S ribosomal RNA
Rfam family: Bacterial small subunit ribosomal RNA
Source: RNAcentral